UACGGGGGGGGCAAGCGUUGUUCGGAAUUACUGGGCGUAAAGGGCUCGUAGGUGGCUAACUAAGUCAGACGUGAAAUCCCUCGGCUUAACCGGGGAACUGCGUCUGAUACUGGAUGGCUUGAGUUCGGGAGAGGGAUGCGGAAUUCCAGGUGUAGCGGUGAAAUGCGUAGAUAUCUGGAGGAACACCGGUGGCGAAGGCGGCAUCCUGGACCGACACUGACGCUGAGGAGCGAAAGCCAGGGGAGCAAACGGG
RNAcentral lists this ribosomal RNA (253 nucleotides) under uncultured bacterium. Its description in RNAcentral is "partial 16S ribosomal RNA". It matches the Rfam family "Bacterial small subunit ribosomal RNA", at positions 524 to 776 of the family's 1533-position model. The record is from RNAcentral.